AGUUCAGAAAAGAUUCCUCCAGGUGUGAAGGCUGAUGUCAGUCAGCUUCAGAGAAACAGCACCAGCUGAGCUGAGGACCUGCAAGUGUCAGGCACCUUGAUAAUGAGACACCACAGCCUGUUCUUGUCUAGUCAGUGAGACCAUCCAGUCCCUCUUGUCGUGUAAUUUGUGGUGGCUUUACAGACUUUGAUGCCAAACUGAAGGACAAACCCCAAGCUUUUGGAUGCUGUUCAGCCAGGACAAGUCCCAAAACGUGACACUUCUUCCCAUGGCAUCACCAAAUCAGGCUUCCCCCAUCACCACAGAGUCAAGACAGCCCCAGCUCACCUCUCACUCUGCUCCUGACUGAAAUUCCAGCUGGAAGAGCAGCCCUUCCCCGCCUGAGUGA
Long non-coding RNA from Haemorhous mexicanus (house finch), 388 nucleotides. RefSeq lists it as uncharacterized. The transcript has 3 exons. The record is from RefSeq and is a predicted model, not a curated record. Lineage: Eukaryota; Metazoa; Chordata; Aves; Passeriformes; Fringillidae.